Oncorhynchus masou masou (cherry salmon) is the source of this 1461-nucleotide RNA transcript. RefSeq lists it as uncharacterized. The record is from RefSeq and is a predicted model, not a curated record. The transcript has 4 exons. NCBI's taxonomy places the organism in Eukaryota, Metazoa, Chordata, Actinopteri, Salmoniformes, Salmonidae.
UUCUGCCAAAACGUCCGUAUGUGACGGUCAAUUCAAAUCUUUGAGGCGAAAUCAUUUUCACCAUGGCUCCUGCUCUCCACAACUACCUGUUUAUUCAGCUAAUAGUCCUCCCUAAAGAGUUCUCGUAUAAGGUCAUUAAUUCACUUUGGGUCGUCUUCAUUUGGACAUUAAAAGUUCAUGACUCAGGAGAAAACAUUGGAGACCGGAGGAGCAGAUUCCACUCUUCUCUGCCCAAACCAAACACUCACGGACAUCAGUACUGUAGUAUGUCACAAAAAUAGAGUUACACAUGAGGGUCAUGAGUGUAGAGUAUCACAAGACGUUGAAACAAAUCAUACCAACAGCACUUGUGACCCCAGAAUCACACUGCAGACAGAGAAUGACAGUGUUUCUACACAUCACCAACAUACAACCAUCUGAUGAAGGGAGCUACACCUGUGAUUGUACAUAUUAUAAAGGCAGUGCUAAUAUAAACAUACACAUUUAUGUCAAUGGUAAGUGUUUGGUCUGAUGGGAUUGUUGACAAUCAUUUUAAAAUGAACCCCAGCAUAUCUUAUCAUCACAUAUUUAGUAGAAUGCAUGUCAUGUGCAAAAGUACAUUCAGUAUUUCAUAUGUAUUUGACUUACCUUGAUGUUCUGUGAGUGUUUUAGUGUCUUGUUUUGGAACAUCUGUCAUAGAAGUUACAUCUGAGAGAAUCUCUGUAGUCACAAUAUUGGAUUUUCUCAUCAGUGCAUGUAAUAAUGUCUUAAAAUGGAGAAUGUCAACAACACGAUGCCUUAAUGUAAAUGAACAAGAUGGUGGAAGAGAAACAUAUAAGAUCAUCAUAUAUAUUUUCCCCUUUCUCAGGACACCAAGUGCAACAGGCCACAGACAACGGUCUCUUCUAUUGGGGGAUGAUAACAGGCGUUGCAGCAUGUGUAGCUGUCCUGGUGUUUGGUGGUGUAAUCAUGGGGAAAAUUCAUCUCAGAACACAGCUACAAGUGUCUGGAACCGUCAACGAGGUGCCACAACACUGCUUGCUGUUGCCUGUUAGUCAGAUGACAGCAGCUGGGUCCCCAUUUGCAACAGUUGCGUACAUUUCACAAUAAAUAUCUGCGCGCUCCAUACCUGAAAAGACCGCACACGUACAAUAACACUGAGAUUCAUCAACUUGGGCGGAUGCAAUACGUAUGCAUGUUUCCGCUAUAAAUCAGACCCGUCCUGAACCUGUGCGCGCCUGAGUGAGAAUCUGCCUGAAAAAUGGCCUUCAUUCACCAUUUAUAGUGAGAAUAACGCCUUUUUUCACUGUAUACUUUGGAAGUAUUGUAAUUAUACCAUGGUAGUUUCCAAAUAGAAAUGGUAAGCUUGAUCAAAUGUCUCUGGAGGUGUUGGCAGAAUGUUUAAAUCUUUUACAGUGACAUUUGCAGUAUCUGACCAUUUCUGAAAUAAAAAACUAUUGCAAAUGGUUGUAGACCUGUAAA